Molecule: ribosomal RNA, 406 nt
Filed under: uncultured bacterium
Lineage: Bacteria
Description: partial 16S ribosomal RNA
Rfam family: Bacterial small subunit ribosomal RNA
Source: RNAcentral
AUUGAACGCUGGCGGCAGGCUUAACACAUGCAAGUCGAACGAGUGGCGGACGGGUGAGUAAUGUCUGGGAAACUGCCUGAUGGAGGGGGAUAACUACUGGAAACGGUAGCUAAUACCGCAUACCAUCGGAUGUGCCCAGAUGGGAUUAGCUGGUUGGUGGGGUAAAGGCUCACCAAGGCGACGAUCCCUAGCUGGUCUGAGAGGAUGACCAGCCACACUGGGACUGAGACACGGCCCAGACUCCUACGGGAGGCAGCAGUGGGGAAUAUUGCACAAUGGGCGCAAGCCUGACGCAGCCAUGCCGCGUGUAUGAAGAAGGCCUUCGGGUUGUAAAGUACUUUCGGCAGGGAGGCGUUACCCACAGAAGAAGCACCGGCUAACUCCGUGCCAGCAGCCGCGGUAAUAC